This 1003-nucleotide unclassified non-coding RNA is filed under the name Hevea brasiliensis (rubber tree). The record is from RNAcentral. Lineage: Eukaryota; Viridiplantae; Streptophyta; Magnoliopsida; Malpighiales; Euphorbiaceae.
AGUGGGUGCUGUAGCAGAGGCCAUUGUUAGUGGGUUAUUUCGGAGGGAGAGAGAAAGAGAGAGAGCUAAAGAGAGAAUGAGUGUGCAGUGCACUGAGGAGAAGAGAAGAAAAAAAGGAAAGAAAGGCGAGAUUUUUGAAGCAAGGGAUGGGAUAUGAAAAGCUGAAUUAAAAAGUGAAUUGCUUUUGUAUACGUGAUGAAAGGGUCAAAAAAGCCCUUUCAUUUUUUUUCAUUGUUAAAUUCACAGACUUUGAGACAGAAAAACAGAGUCAACCGACCCUUUUGGAGCUUUGUAUUUGUAAGGCUUCGAUAACUCCACCGAGGCACAUUGCCUUUUAUCUUCUCUUCUCUCCUCUUCAACCCUUCUAUUCUAUUUUCAUCUUCUCUCUCUCGCUUUUCCCUUUCUUUUUUCAUUUCUCUCUGCAAAUCUUUUGUUUUCUUCCUUUUAUCAUCUUUUCUCGCUAGGCUGCUUCUACUCUUUCUAAGUUCAGUACACUCGAGGCUCUUCAACCAUGCAGCCAAGCAGAUAUAAUUAUACUUCUUCCGAGAACUAGGGUUCCUCCCUCCUUUUUUCUGUUCUUUCUUUAGGCUAGAGAGUGAUUAGUUUUUAGAGAGAGAGAGAGAGAGGGAUAGAGAACGAAGUGCUAAGCAGGAGUUUGAAGGGGUUUCGCUUGCCUUCUUUCUCUUUCUUUCUCUCUGGAAAAAAAAAAAGUUUCUGUAGAGAGGAAGUUUGAGACAUUUGGACAUUUUUCCUUGUGUCUCCUCUACCUCUUUGCCUUUCUUUUCUUUCAUGUUUCCAAUAUUAAAAGAUUUGUAUUACCAAAUACCGUUUUUCAAGUUUUAGACUAUUAUUUCUUGAUUUUCAAUUUUGGGUUGGCUUGUUUCGGUGCUGAUAUUCAUGGGUCUGAUUGAGAAAUGGAGCAAAUCUUUUGACAAUUGCUGUGUGAGAUAAGUGCUUGUAAAUUUGUAGAGAAUAGGAAGCAAAUCUAGAGGGGAUACUGGAA